RNAcentral lists this ribosomal RNA (301 nucleotides) under uncultured bacterium. RNAcentral describes it as "partial 16S ribosomal RNA". It matches the Rfam family "Bacterial small subunit ribosomal RNA", at positions 509 to 807 of the family's 1533-position model. The record is from RNAcentral.
CAGCCGCCGCGGUAAUACGAAGGGGGCUAGCGUUGUUCGGAUUUACUGGGCGUAAAGGGUGCGUAGGCGGACUGAUAAGUCAGGGGUGAAAUCCCAAGGCUCAACCUUGGAACUGCCUUUGAUACUGUUAGUCUUGAGUUCGAGAGAGGUGAGUGGAACUGCGAGUGUAGAGGUGAAAUUCGUAGAUAUUCGCAAGAACACCAGUGGCGAAGGCGGCUCACUGGCUCGAAACUGACGCUGAGGCACGAAAGCGUGGGGAGCAAACAGGAUUAGAUACCCCAGUAGUCCCUGUCUCUUAUAC